This 847-nucleotide ribosomal RNA is filed under the name Brevibacterium sp. N73_3. RNAcentral's name for it is "bacterial SSU rRNA". It matches the Rfam family "Bacterial small subunit ribosomal RNA", at positions 53 to 910 of the family's 1533-position model. Lineage: Bacteria; Bacillati; Actinomycetota; Actinomycetes; Micrococcales; Brevibacteriaceae. The record is from RNAcentral.
CCAUGCAGUCGACGCUGAAGCCGACAGCUUGCUGUUGGUGGAUGAGUGGCGAACGGGUGAGUAACACGUGAGUAACCUGCCCCUGAUUUCGGGAUAAGCCUGGGAAACUGGGUCUAAUACCGGAUACGACCUCCUGACGCAUGUUGGGUGGUGGAAAGUUUUUCGAUCGGGGAUGGGCUCGCGGCCUAUCAGCUUGUUGGUGGGGUAAUGGCCUACCAAGGCGACGACGGGUAGCCGGCCUGAGAGGGCGACCGGCCACACUGGGACUGAGACACGGCCCAGACUCCUACGGGAGGCAGCAGUGGGGAAUAUUGCACAAUGGGGGAAACCCUGAUGCAGCGACGCAGCGUGCGGGAUGACGGCCUUCGGGUUGUAAACCGCUUUCAGCAGGGAAGAAGCGAAAGUGACGGUACCUGCAGAAGAAGUACCGGCUAACUACGUGCCAGCAGCCGCGGUAAUACGUAGGGUACGAGCGUUGUCCGGAAUUAUUGGGCGUAAAGAGCUCGUAGGUGGUUGGUCACGUCUGCUGUGGAAACGCAACGCUUAACGUUGCGCGUGCAGUGGGUACGGGCUGACUAGAGUGCAGUAGGGGAGUCUGGAAUUCCUGGUGUAGCGGUGAAAUGCGCAGAUAUCAGGAGGAACACCGGUGGCGAAGGCGGGACUCUGGGCUGUAACUGACACUGAGGAGCGAAAGCAUGGGGAGCGAACAGGAUUAGAUACCCUGGUAGUCCAUGCCGUAAACGUUGGGCACUAGGUGUGGGGGACAUUCCACGUUCUCCGCGCCGUAGCUAACGCAUUAAGUGCCCCGCCUGGGGAGUACGGUCGCAAGGCUAAAACUCAAAGGAAU